AGCUUGCUUUUUUGAGACCGGCGCACGGGUGAGUAACGCGUAUGCAACCUACCUUAUACAGGGGAAUAGCCCGAAGAAAUUCGGAUUAAUGCUCCAUGGUUUAUCGAUAUGGCAUCGUAUUGAUAAUAAAGAUUUAUCGGUAUAAGAUGGGCAUGCGUAUCAUUAGCUAGUUGGUGUGGUAACGGCAUACCAAGGCAACGAUGAUUAGGGGUCCUGAGAGGGAGAUCCCCCACACUGGUACUGAGACACGGACCAGACUCCUACGGGAGGCAGCAGUGAGGAAUAUUGGUCAAUGGAGGCAACUCUGAACCAGCCAUGCCGCGUGCAGGAUGACGGUCCUAUGGAUUGUAAACUGCUUUUGUACAGGAAGAAACCUCCCUACGAGUAGGGACUUGACGGUACUGUAAGAAUAAGGAUCGGCUAACUCCGUGCCAGCAGCCGCGGUAAUACGGAGGAUCCGAGCGUUAUCCGGAAUUAUUGGGUUUAAAGGGUUCGUAGGCGGCUUUGUAAGUCAGUGGUGAAAUUUCCUAGCUUAACUAGGACACUGCCAUUGAUACUGCAGAGCUUGAAUAGUAUGGAAGUAACUAGAAUAUGUAGUGUAGCGGUGAAAUGCUUAGAUAUUACAUGGAAUACCAAUUGCGAAGGCAGGUUACUACGUAUUUAUUGACGCUGAUGAACGAAAGCGUGGGGAGCGAACAGGAUUAGAUACCCUGGUAGUCCACGCCGUAAACGAUGGAUACUAGCUGUUCGGUUUUCGGACUGAGUGGCUAAGCGAAAGUGAUAAGUAUCCCACCUGGGGAGUACGUUCGCAAGAAUGAAACUCAAAGGAAUUGACGGGGGCCCGCACAAGCGGUGGAGCAUGUGGUUUAAUUCGAUGAUACGCGAGGAACCUUACCAGGGCUUAAAUGUAGAUUGACAGAUUUGGAAACAGAUUUUUCUUCGGACAAUUUACAAGGUGCUGCAUGGUUGUCGUCAGCUCGUGCCGUGAGGUGUCAGGUUAAGUCCUAUAACGAGCGCAACCCCUAUUGUUAGUUACCAGCGCGUAGUGGCGGGGACUCUAGCAAGACUGCCGGUGCAAACCGUGAGGAAGGUGGGGAUGACGUCAAAUCAUCACGGCCCUUACGUCCUGGGCUACACACGUGCUACAAUGGCAAGUACAGAAAGCAGCUACCUGGCAACAGGAUGCGAAUCUCCAAAGCUUGUCUCAGUUCGGAUUGGAGUCUGCAACUCGACUCUAUGAAGCUGGAAUCGCUAGUAAUCGGAUAUCAGCCAUGAUCCGGUGAAUACGUUCCCGGGCCUUGUACACACCGCCCGUCAAGCCAUGGAAGCU
This 1330-nucleotide ribosomal RNA is filed under the name Myroides odoratimimus. RNAcentral describes it as "bacterial SSU rRNA". It matches the Rfam family "Bacterial small subunit ribosomal RNA", at positions 77 to 1412 of the family's 1533-position model. The record is from RNAcentral. Lineage: Bacteria; Pseudomonadati; Bacteroidota; Flavobacteriia; Flavobacteriales; Flavobacteriaceae.